CCUCGGAGAGUUUGAUCCUGGCUCAGGACGAACGCUGGCGGCGUGCCUAAUACAUGCAAGUCGAGCGAACAGAAGG
RNAcentral lists this ribosomal RNA (76 nucleotides) under Bacillus sp. I-2. RNAcentral describes it as "partial 16S ribosomal RNA". It matches the Rfam family "Bacterial small subunit ribosomal RNA", at positions 1 to 77 of the family's 1533-position model. Lineage: Bacteria; Bacillati; Bacillota; Bacilli; Caryophanales; Bacillaceae. The record is from RNAcentral.